AUGGCGGCGCCCGGGCGAUUGUUUUUGUUUCCUCUCCUGGCUCCCCUCCCCCGCUUCUCCCAAUCACGGCGGCCUGUCGCGCGACUUGGUGCGUGCGCGAGUCGUCCCCAAUUGACAGCCCUCGGAACCACUCUGGGCGGAGCACAAGACCUCGCCUUGCCAGCUGGGGCGGGGCGCUGGCGCCCCUAUGCGCGAGGAGAAACGCUCCCGCGCCUCGUACCUGCGCGCGCCCCCUUCCUUGGGUCAAUCAAUCUGAUAAGCAUUUUAAUGGAUCUUUCCCUGUGUUAUGUGAGCAUGCAAGAUAUAGUACCGGGGACUUGUGCUUCUACACAGAGUUUACCCAGUUAUGCAGGAGGAGCAGCAGCAGCAGCAUGAAAUGUAUCUGAUCAUACCUAGUUUUGUUCUUCUGUUCCUGUUGGGGAGCACUUUUUCUGGAGACGAGCGUGGAUAACACUUUUCAUUCCUUCUGAGGAAAUAAGGAGAACAAUGGGAAAACGAGCUGUCUCCUUUUUCCACAACAGAGCACUCAUAACAGGAGCACAGAAGAUUUCAACUGUGCCUCUGCGGCUUCUACACUUAUCACUGAACAAGCAUUAUGUACUCAGGAGCAGCAGCAUAUGCAGGAUCCUGUGCUGCAAAAUUAAUUUACAGUCUCCACAGAGGUAUUUCUAAGAUGUGGUGGGAAACAUGGGGCUCCUGUGAUUUUUGUAUUGAAUUUCAAUCCAAGAUUUAUUAUCUGAUUAAUCCAAUAAUUCAGAGGGUUAUAUCUUCCCCUCACUGUGUGAAAUUCUUAAUGUUAGAUUCUGAAGAAAUGAGAAACAAAUUUCAGUGACUUUUGGUGAAAAAAGAUAAAUGGUCUAAACAGCAGGAAUUAAUCCCACUUCCAAGUCAUUUCCCUCACACCAGCCAAGCACGAGACUAUUUAGCCUCUAGUGAUGCUGAAAUACAAAUACAAGAGGCCUGCUUUGUUUUUCCUCACUAUUAUAUUUUUUUUAAAGUAACCUGAAAUGUUCCUAAUUUGACCUAUGAUUCAUGAAUUCUAAAUUAUUUGUAUGAAAAAUUGGAUUUUUGUCAAAAAAUAUCUGUUUUGAAUAUAUAGAUAAAAAUAAAAACAAAAAUAGGCUGAAACGCUAGCCUCUG
Molecule: long non-coding RNA, 1140 nt
Filed under: Chrysemys picta bellii (western painted turtle)
Lineage: Eukaryota; Metazoa; Chordata; Testudines; Emydidae
Description: lncRNA (ENSCPBG00000025779.1)
Source: RNAcentral